GCGCUCUGACGAAGAUGGCGA
This 21-nucleotide non-coding RNA is filed under the name Arabidopsis thaliana (thale cress). The record is from RNAcentral. Lineage: Eukaryota; Viridiplantae; Streptophyta; Magnoliopsida; Brassicales; Brassicaceae.